RNAcentral lists this long non-coding RNA (619 nucleotides) under Gallus gallus (chicken). RNAcentral's name for it is "long non-coding RNA NONGGAT002341". The record is from RNAcentral. Lineage: Eukaryota; Metazoa; Chordata; Aves; Galliformes; Phasianidae.
AUGCGGAUCUGCUGAAGGAUGGUGUGGUUCCUCAGUUACCUGAAUCAUUGUUUGAUUUCGUUGGAUAAGACUUCAAUGGCCUGGCUGUGUAGUCAGAGAAGAACAAAUAAGAUUGUUUCAGGAUAAAUCUGGAAGCUCCGUACUACAGACACAAAGCACUUGACUGCUUCAAGACCAGCGUUACAGAAUGUAAGGCUUUAUGUAGUCUUCAACUUGCCAUCAAACUGCAAUGCCAGUGCCACAAGCACAAGGAAUUUCCAACUUCAGAACCCCUCCAAAGCCAGAGGUCAGUUUGCAUUCAGUUUUCUCCAGCAGCAUCACAAAACACGACGCUUAAAGUGCACGCAUCAACCCAUGCUACUCCGCUGACAAAUAGCUCCUGAAGUGACAGCAGCAAAGGAAGGAAGGCUGACAAGGUGUACUUCCCAGAGCUGAACACAAAAGUUAUUUAAAAGCUCCUCGUUAGCAUGGGGAUUUUAAAUUCCUCAGGCUUUAACCUGCUCAGAAUCUUUUGAGAGGAAUAAAAGGCAGAGCAAACAAUGAAGCCAACCUAUAAGCGAAGGAGGACACAAAGCAGAUUUUCAUAUUCACUCUAAGUGACAGCUGGAUGAAUUACACA